GGAGGCUUUGCGCAGCCUGCGUUUCAUCGGGUGUUCCAGAUAUGACGAUAAGCCGAUCGCUCGUUAUGGGAUCGGGUUCGUGCACUAUCACCUUCGCACCGGAGAUCUGUCUUAGACGGGUUAAAUUUGUGCCAUUCUCUCCAUAUACUAAACUUAUGACAUCGUCAGGAACUACAAUUUCGACCGUCGUGUUCGUCACUAUAGCAGUUUUGCUCCCACUGCCAAGUUGUACUCCG
Molecule: unclassified non-coding RNA, 236 nt
Filed under: Hevea brasiliensis (rubber tree)
Lineage: Eukaryota; Viridiplantae; Streptophyta; Magnoliopsida; Malpighiales; Euphorbiaceae
Source: RNAcentral